CUGGGCGUAAGCGUGCGCAGGCGGUUGUGCAAGACAGAUGUGAAAUCCCCGGGCUUAACCUGGGAAUUGCAUUUGUGACUGCACGGCUAGAGUGUGUCAGAGGGGGAUAGAAUUCCACGUGUAGCAGUGAAAUGCGUAGAGAUGUGGAGGAAUACCGAUGGCGAAGGCAGCCCCCUGGGAUAACACUGACGCUCAUGCACGAAAGCGUGGGGAGCAAACAGGAUUAGAUACCCUGGUAGUCCACGCCCUAAACGAUGUCAACUAGUUGUCGGGUCUUAAUUGACUUGGUACGCAGCUACGCGUGAAGUUGACCGCCUGGGAGUACGGUCGCAGAUAAAACUCAAAGAAUUGACGGGGACCCGCACAAGCGGGGAUGAUGGGAUAAUUCGAUGAACGCAAAAACUUACUACCCUUGAAUGGGAGAAUCCUAAAAAUCAGGGAGGGUCAAAAAAAACU
RNAcentral lists this ribosomal RNA (456 nucleotides) under Noviherbaspirillum sp. RNAcentral describes it as "bacterial SSU rRNA". It matches the Rfam family "Bacterial small subunit ribosomal RNA", at positions 554 to 1028 of the family's 1533-position model. The record is from RNAcentral. Lineage: Bacteria; Pseudomonadati; Pseudomonadota; Betaproteobacteria; Burkholderiales; Oxalobacteraceae.